This 131-nucleotide small RNA is filed under the name Klebsiella pneumoniae. Its description in RNAcentral is "RtT sRNA". It matches the Rfam family "RtT RNA". From Rfam's summary of the family: This family represents a bacterial cis-regulatory element known as RtT RNA. The exact function of RtT is unknown although it is thought that it may be involved in changing the cellular response in relation to amino acid starvation. Lineage: Bacteria; Pseudomonadati; Pseudomonadota; Gammaproteobacteria; Enterobacterales; Enterobacteriaceae. The record is from RNAcentral.
UAUUCUGCCCCAUGGGGAAGGAUGAGAAGCUUCGACUAAGGUUCGACUCGAGCGAAGCGAGAGAACGUUGCCGCAGGCAAGGCCCGAAGGGCGAGGCGCUUUAGCGCCGAGUAAUCCUUCCCCCACCACCA